GGGCGGUUAGUUCAGCGGUAGAACGCUUCGUUGACACCGAAGAGGUCGUAGGUUCGACUCCUACAUCGCCCACCA
RNAcentral lists this transfer RNA (75 nucleotides) under bacterium. RNAcentral describes it as "tRNA-Val". It matches the Rfam family "tRNA". From Rfam's summary of the family: Transfer RNA (tRNA) molecules are approximately 80 nucleotides in length. Their secondary structure includes four short double-helical elements and three loops (D, anti-codon, and T loops). The record is from RNAcentral. RNAcentral also lists the same sequence under 3 other names.